This 460-nucleotide ribosomal RNA is filed under the name uncultured bacterium. Its description in RNAcentral is "partial 16S ribosomal RNA". It matches the Rfam family "Bacterial small subunit ribosomal RNA", at positions 338 to 795 of the family's 1533-position model. The record is from RNAcentral.
CCUACGGGGGGCAGCAGUGAGGAAUAUUGGUCAAUGGACGAGAGUCUGAACCAGCCAAGUAGCGUGAAGGAUGACUGCCCUAUGUGUUGUAAACUUCUUUUAUAUGGGAAUAAAAUGUUCCACGUGUGGGAUUUUGUAUGUACCAUAUGAAUAAGGAUCGGCUAACUCCGUGCCAGCAGCCGCGGUAAUACGGAGGAUCCGAGCGUUAUCCGGAUUUAUUGGGUUUAAAGGGAGCGUAGGUGGAUUGUUAAGUCAGUUGUGAAAGUUUGCGGCUCAACCGUAAAAUUGCAGUUGAAACUGGCAGUCUUGAGUACAGUAGAGGUGUGCGGAAUUCGUGGUGUAGCGGUGAAAUGCUUAGAUAUCACGAAGAACUCCGAUUGCGAAGGCAGUUCACUGGACUGCAACUGACACUGAGGCUCGAAAGUGUGGGUAUCAAACAGGAUUAGAUACCCCUGUAGUC